Molecule: ribosomal RNA, 567 nt
Filed under: Triticum aestivum (bread wheat)
Lineage: Eukaryota; Viridiplantae; Streptophyta; Magnoliopsida; Poales; Poaceae
Description: partial small subunit ribosomal RNA
Source: RNAcentral
AUGCCCGGAGAUUUUAGCCAGUGGAUAAUGAAGCAUUACGACCCAGAGAUUUUGCAGAUAGUCAUUCCAGAAAGGGGGAAGAUUCCUGUAGAUGCCGCAAGUGUCCGUAGGAUAUGGGGUUUGCCCAGCAGGGGCAGAAAGGUGUGCUUCGAGAAUCGGCCUGAAAUCACAAAGGCAAUGUACAAUAUUUACAACAUCACAUCGAAGAACUCCCCAACCCUCACAGAAUGGUGCAAGAUGAUCGUAGACAUGGGAGGAUCUCAUGAUGAUGACUUUGUCCGCGCUUGGCUAGCUCUUAUUUUUUCGUGCUUCCUUGCCCCUUCAACUAGUUUGAGCAUUUCCCCAAAGAGUUUCCCGACGGUCAUGGAUGUCAAUGGAAUAACAGAAACCAAUAUAUGCCAGUUUGUUGUUGAUCAAUUAAAGCUUGCGUUCACUUUGGGGCGUGCCAACAAGAAGGCUGUUUGUUGUUGUGUUUUCCACCUUGUUGUAAGUGCUUCAAGCUGUUUUGUUUUUUUAAGCAUCAAUUGUUUACUUAUCUUUUGUUUUCUUUUUGCAAUCAUUAGCUAA